This is a non-coding RNA of Phrynosoma platyrhinos (Desert horned lizard), 72 nucleotides long. Lineage: Eukaryota; Metazoa; Chordata; Lepidosauria; Squamata; Phrynosomatidae. The record is from the annotation of a GenBank genome assembly.
GCCAGUGUGGUGUAGUGAUUUGAAUGUUGGACUUUGAUUCUGGAGAUCAGGGUUCAAAUCCUGGCUCAGUCA